RNAcentral lists this unclassified non-coding RNA (182 nucleotides) under Expression vector pKK160. The record is from RNAcentral.
GUGGAAAGGACGAAACACCGCCGCCCACGCGAGAUGAGGAGUUUUAGAGCUAGGCCAACAUGAGGAUCACCCAUGUCUGCAGGGCCUAGCAAGUUAAAAUAAGGCUAGUCCGUUAUCAACUUGGCCAACAUGAGGAUCACCCAUGUCUGCAGGGCCAAGUGGCACCGAGUCGGUGCUUUUUU